Molecule: ribosomal RNA, 335 nt
Filed under: uncultured bacterium
Lineage: Bacteria
Description: bacterial SSU rRNA
Rfam family: Bacterial small subunit ribosomal RNA
Source: RNAcentral
UGCGUAGGCGGUCCCGCAAGUCCGCUGUGAAAUCCCCGGGCUUAACCUGGGAAUGGCAGUGGAAACUAGGGGACUUGAAUCUGGCAGAGGGGGGUGGAAUGCCACGUGUAGCAGUGAAAUGCGUAGAGAUGUGGCGGAACACCGAUGGCGAAGGCAGCCCCCUGGGCUGAGAUUGACGCUCAGGCACGAAAGCGUGGGGAGCAAACAGGAUUAAGAUUACCCUGGUAGUCCACGCCCUAAACGAUGAUCACUAGGUGUUGGGGAAGCGAUUUCUCAGUACCGCAGCUAACGCGCGAAGUGAUCCGCCUGGGGAGUACGGGUCGCAAGUAUUAAAA